ACAAAAGUCAACCAAUAUUAGUCAUCGACACACAAUAAACUCCUAUUUACAGAGAUCAACACAUGUAUAAACAGACAACGUUGACGUAAAUCAAUUACAAAAAGGAAAAAAAGCUUAACGCUGAUAUUAAGUAGACCUAAAUGGCGCAGAAGUGUCUCAGGUACUACUUGAGACGUUUUUCGGAUAUUUUUUUAAUUAUUUAGAUUCCAAAACGUAGGGUGCCAGUUCAACGAAUCAAUAUUUGAAUACCAGUCUGGUUCGUGCAUUCAAAAGAAAAUACAUGACUUAAUAGCCAAGUGGAAAAAAGCCACUAUAGGGAGACUUGCCAAGACUUAAUACCAUACUAAAUAUCAGUAUAGCAUCGUUUAGAUAGCAACGGAUGAAAAGCCAAAAAACUUUUCCUGAAAUUGAAGCCAAUGAAGUGAUAUGCAAAUAUUCAAAACGAGUGUAGAAGCAAUAUUAAAGAGGAACGACGAAGUCGUAAGAAAGUGUUUUAAUUGCACCACUCAAAUGGUGGUAGAAGAGAUUAAAAUCAUAUCAACGAAUUAAAAUUUGAUUGUGACAAGGAUUGAAGCAGACAUAUUGUUUCGUUGGCUAUUUGUAGUGUUAAUUUCAAUAGUAAGAGUAGAUCUAACACAUGUAACACAGUAAACAUAUGUAUAGCUGUAACAUCAUAAUAUAAUGCCCUGUGCUCAGCAACUAAGCAAUCAAGAAGUCUCGACUCGCUUGAAAUAAAAAGUGAAAAACGACAUAAGAAAACGUUGGCAACACUUCUGCGCUGAUGGUUUUACCGACCCCUAAUAAUAUUUGAAAACGUAACGGUGAGUAAAAAACUGUUUACUGAACAUCAUCAUUAUACGAUACAAGGCCGUGGUUUUAUUUUUUUUUUAUUAAAAAAUAUCUAUGUUGUGCCUUACUCCAAACGUCUUGUAGGUAUUUGUUUCUGUGAGAUCAAGCCGCCCACCGUGACCCUAAAUUCCUACCGGUCGACCCCGCGAUAGGGUUAUUCGUCUUAUCCGGUAUGUUGUUUCGCUCCUCGGCUGCGGGUAGUGUGUACAAUGUGUUAUUCUUUUAUACGAUGUGCCUACUAUACAACAUAAUAUUCUAUAAAGUGGCUCAACAAAAAUAUAAUACACAACGGCUGGCCCGGAGUUAACUCGCCAGACGAAUCCCGCAUGAAUGAAUUGAACGCUUUUGAAACACAAAAAUACAAAUAGGUACUUAUUUUUUUUUACACGCUCAUUUUUUACAACACCAAAAACCCUACAGGCCAUUGUACCGGUCGACGUCGAUAUAGCCCACAAAUUCCUUAAGACAUUCUUGUACAGACAUUCCGAUUGAACACGAACGUCUGACAAAAAUAAAAAGCAUAUUAACGUUAAAACCAAAAAUUUUUAAAACAAACAUAAGUGAUUAUUAUUUCUAAAACAAUUGAUCAAACAGCCCAAGUAAUUUAAUACUGUAAAUUGGACAAUUAUCGCGAGCAUGGAGUGCUAUACUUAUUACAAAAAAAAUAUAUUAAGUACUUGAGUAUUUUUUUGUAAUUUUUAUUAGAUAAAGCGAACAUCAGACUUUUCUAUCAAUUGUAUCAUAUUGUUUAUCAUUUUUAUAGAAAUCAUUUUUGGCGUUGAAUUGGUCUCGUUUUUGAACUAUAACAGCAUAAUAGUAUACCUGUAUAAUUUAAUAGGGAAACCAAAUACUUUUAAAUAAAAAAGUUGCAUUCAUGUUAGUUUUUGAAUUUUCUAAAUAGCCGUUAUAACUUUUAACAACUUUUGUACUGUUAUUCGAAUUGGUAGAUAUUUCAAUCGAUUCACAAUUUAUUAUAAUUACUGUCAAUAUAGUGUUAUAUGAUGACCACGUCAUCAAUAUAGGUUACGUGUUUUUUUAAAUAAAUGCGGGCAGUGCUUCCGGAGACUUGAGACUGAUGACCAAACGAUUAAAUUAACAAUAACGCUGAAUUGCAAAUUGUAAAACUAUAUAAAGACAAUCAGAUUUAAUGAUAUUUUGUCAGUCGACUUUACCAGAGCUAUAUGUCAUCAGUCAAGAGUACUCGGCUGUCGCUGUCCGUCUACAAGGUUUCGUUACAAGUUCGAGAGUUCGUUCAUUAACACCUAGUAGUCUAUCCUCUUUCCUUGUGCACUUGUCUUGCGAUUCGUUCGCACAGUGCACAUUCCUUUCUUAAAGUACCCGUGUCUUGCGAUUCGUUCGCACCUUAUACUUUCCUCUCCACACACACGUGUCUUGCGAUUCGUUCGCACCGUGUGUGCUUACAUUUCCUUAGGUACUCGUGUCUUGCGAUUCGUUCGCACCUUGUACCUAUCCUUUCUCAUUCUCUAAUUCUUUUUAAUCCAGUAUAAACAACGGCUCUUCGACAUCCGCAAAGAACCCGGACAGCAAUCCGUUUCGCUCUUGUACCAGUGUUCACCAGUAUACAUCAAGAGUCUAGAGUGUACACCAUCACCUUUCUUUUUGUCUUACGACAAUAGGUAAUAAAGAAACAGCACUUGUUUUCAUUGUACAGCUGUUAAUUGCACCAUCUCCGUCGUUGGUUGAUACAAGUAAAAUAUACUUACAUGUGUGUAUUAUAUGUGUUUUUUACUUAUACUUGUAUUCGUCGUCAAGUUUUAUCCAAAUAUUUAUAUACACCGGAAACACCAAAUUAUUAAUCACUGUGUAUCGUUCACCGAUGAGAUAAUGUAAAAUAUUGCUCAGCCUUCCGCCAAUGACGCCAUAAUGGACAUAGUUUAUUAGUAAUAGUGUUACAGUAAUUAUUAUUAUACUUAACAACAUCGAAAAGCCCUUGAAUCGACUGUCGUCUACGCGAACUGACCGCCUCGUUAUAAUAAUUACAGUUCGGUUUAGGUUUAAAAUCUAUUAAGUACAUAAUCACAAUAAUAUUGUUUGUCUUAAUCACAGUUGUCUAAUUGAAGUUUAUUAGUUUAAUAUAUUAUGCAUGUAAAGUGUUACACAACAUACGAGGCUCCGGUUAUAGAGAUGACGUUUUAUCUGUGUAUCCACUUUCUUAUGAAUGUUUCAGUUAUUUUUAACUCAGAGCCGCGUCUUUGGGUGAUCUUUGAACGGCCUACACUGGUUUACUCUUCGAAUCACUUUGUAUUUUUGUCUUUUUGAAAACGUUUUUGUUUAUGUUAUACAGAGUGAUGCAUUAAGGAUUAAGGUGACUCAUUAUCUCCAAGAAUAAUUUUCUAGUGUUUGAAA
This is a long non-coding RNA of Adelges cooleyi (spruce gall adelgid), 3216 nucleotides long. RefSeq lists it as uncharacterized. NCBI's taxonomy places the organism in Eukaryota, Metazoa, Arthropoda, Insecta, Hemiptera, Adelgidae. The transcript is spliced from 4 exons. The record is from RefSeq and is a predicted model, not a curated record.